Canis lupus familiaris (dog) is the source of this 3852-nucleotide long non-coding RNA. RefSeq lists it as uncharacterized. The record is from RefSeq and is a predicted model, not a curated record. The transcript is spliced from 3 exons. NCBI's taxonomy places the organism in Eukaryota, Metazoa, Chordata, Mammalia, Carnivora, Canidae.
CCUCCUCAGCGCUGAAGGCAGAAGUGGGCGGGCCCUGAACUCCGGGCGAUCCUCUCAGAGGGGCCCCUGCUUUCAAGCCAUUUACCUGACCCAUGGUCUGCAAGGACACGUUCCGCGUGGGCUAUGGCUUGGGGAAAAGUCUUAGGAAGUCGUAUUUUUUGUCACAGUCCUGGAGGGGUUUGCAAAGUACCUUUGUUUUUAGGGAAACUGUGUUACUGCAGUGGAGCGCCCUGGCACAGCAGGGCUGACCGUCGAAGGCCAUGUGUUCGUCAUGAGUUACAGAUGUGUAUGGACUCUCUGAUGUUUCCUUGUUCUGGAAAUCCUAUAGAAGGUGGCUCACACGUCCAGCUAUGCUCUGGGGGUGGUCACAGCAAAGUUCUGUGGUUCAGCCUGGAGGUGCCAACGCAGGCGCACACACCGAGAACCAGCGAGAGUGAAAACGUGUUGUGCGAAUGUGGACGGGGUGCGGUAAACGUGAGGCACCUAAAAUCUCUUCUAUUGCUUUUAAAAGACAUAGUCACGUAGUAUAAGCUUUAGUGCGUUUGUGAACAAUGGAACCAGUACCAUUACCGUGGCGCCUGUGCUGCGCUUUGGAGACGCAGGCGCAGUGGGUUGUGUGGUGCGCGCCCCUUGGUCUGCGCCCCAGAUGAGCAGUCAGCCUUCCGGGCACACUUAGGGUGCUUGUAACACUUGCUGCUGUGGAGCGUGUGCUCAGGUGAACAUAGUGGUAACGAGACACCCCAGUGACUGGGGGCGAGGCUGGUGGUGUUUCCCACCCCGCCUUCCCAAGAAGCUGUGGGUAGAAUGGCCAUGUUUACACCAGCCAGUGCAUUUGAGAAAUGCAAGCAAGCAAGUCCCUGUCAUCACACGUGCUUGGAAGCGGAACAGUUGGUACCAUGUUGGUGGUGAAGCGGCACAGGUAACAACCAAAAGGGUCACGAGUGUCGGUAACCUGCAGACAUGCUCACCCCUGGGUUUGAGUGCCACCUAGAAACCCAAUGAUCUCCCCCUGUGUUCCCCAGGCAGCCUAGGGCCAGGGGUACAGGACGGUGGCCACGGACACGGUGUUGUGCAGUGUGCCUCCCACGGGGCACUCGGCAGCUCCAAGUGAUGCAGCAGAGCGGCCGCUGCUCCCACUCAGGGGGCCCAUGAGGCCAGGGGGUGCCGACAGCCCCCAGGUGCCACUCCUGGGUCUGGCCCCCACAGGGAGAUUCCUGCUGGGGGGCCGGCACCCAGAGACUGGCUGAGGGCAUGGUGGUCCCUCAGGGCCGAGCGUGCACUUGCACUCAGACCCCGGUGGUGGCUACACAGUCGGAAUCCACUCCUGCUGCUGGGGCAGCUGGGAAGUGGCCUUGAAAUGAAGGAAGCUGCUCGGCGGUGCAGAGCAUGGGGUGGAAGGGCAGCCGGUGUGAGAUGGCAUGGUGGGGGCCGGGGCCCGGCGGCACGCCCAGCAAGGACACAAGUCGGUGCGGCUCGCACGGGAGGCUUUCCUGAUCCCGCGCUGUGGAACGGCCGGGCGGCCCGGCACCCCCGCCCGACGGCGCUGCUGCCCUUGGGAGAGCAAGGCUCCCCUGCUCUAGGGCCCUAGCAGAUGGCGGAGGGGGUUGGGACUCCGCGUGGAAGGUGUGCUUGGGACUGGCUUUGCCGCUUAGCAGCUUGUGACCCACGUCCUCCCGGGGCCUGGGUUGCUAGAGCGUUCACCAAGUGUGUGAGGAGUGUCCCAGCCCCCGGACUGCUGUGACACGCAUGCGAGGGCCCAGACACAGAGUAGCUGCUACAGAGAGGGCGCUCAUGCCACCCAGCAGGUGCGGCAGAAGGCAAGGAGCCGAGGCCUGCUUCUCUCCCGUUCCUGUCCCUGCGGGCCCUGGGGCCUGCGGCUCUAGACGACAGGGCGGCCGGCUCUGUCAGGUCCGGCACCUGGUUUUCACGGCAUGUUCAUGCCCCCGCAACAGAUACCCCAGACUGGGCAGCUCAGGCAACAGGACCCCCAGUCUACGGUAUCAGGGCUCGCCCUCCUCUCAUUUCACCGUGACCACCCGACUAAAGACUCCCUCUCCAAAGACAGUCCCAUUCCGAGGUCCCGGGCCGAGGUCUUCAAUGUAUGUAUCUUGGGGAACGUGGUGUGGCCCAUAACAUCCGCUCACGGACGGAGGGAGGUGCCCACACGCGCUGUGUGCGAAUCGGCUGGGGAACCGGUCUAUGAAGCAGCAAGGGAGCCGGCCCCCUUCUGGGUGAGCAGGUUGGGGUAUCAGGCUGUGUCAUCCGAUGACUGUGGUGUCCGUGUGACCGGCGCACACAAGGGCUCAUUGUCAGGAGGUGCGGGGCCGACAGCCUCAGCAAGGAUGUCUGGGCCUCUCAGCAGCAGCAGUCCCCCCCACCCCCAUAAGACACUUCACGUAGAGGGAAAGCUUUGCGUGGAGUUUAGGCGCAUGAGUCUCACGGUCUCCUUGGUGCUUGGAAACCUCUCCUUGGGGCUGGACUUGAGGUGACCACGUGUCAGGAGCCUCCUCUGGGCUCUACAGAGGAAUGAGGCCCAGGCCUGGGGCUGGGGGCAGCGCUGUGCCAUAUGGGGGAAUCCGUGUGGGACCCGGGGAGAUAGACUUUGGCGGUAGAUAUGACCGAUGUGACUGGGGCACAAAGAGCGGGGGCAGACGAGGACAGUGGUGCGUACGUGGGCUCAGCAGUGAGGCUAUGGGGAGGGGCAGACACCAGCCCUUGAAGCCAGAGUUCGCUCUUCAGGCACGCUCAUGACUCCCCGUGGUUGGAUCGAGGCAUCGGUCUGGGGACAGGAGAUCGUGCGGUUGUGGUCGGGGCAGGAGGGUCCUGAGCACCCCUAUGCCCCGUGCAGGGGACUGUGGCUCUGAAGGAAGGAGCUCAGACACACAGGCGGAAUGGCAGCCUCAUAGUCUAUCCAGAAACUUCGGGUCCCUCAGCACAGCCCCAUUGCCAUCUAGUCAGGGCAGAUGGCGCGGCUGCAACGUGUAUGGCUGCCACAUAGCUGCGUGGGCAUCCGGGACACACUGCAGCGGGCGCUGUGCCGCCGAGGCUCUGCAGGCCCCACGCUCAGCAGCCCUGUCUUCAGACUGGGCAAUCCCCACGCAGGUGAACUUCUCUGCCGCGGGCUCCACGGUCACAGCUUUGCCCGGUGACUGCUUGCUUCCGAGAAGGAAGGGCCAGUGCUCAGUGCAGCUACAGGCAGGGGACGGGGACGUACGCGUUAGGUCCCCAGCAGAGCCCAGCCUCCUGUCCACCCUCCUGCAGCCCAGCCCCCCUGCACAGCCCGCUUCCCGGCCCCCCAGCAGCAGCAGCACGUGUGCACCACCUUCCAGGUGCAGCGAGACCUCUGGCGGGGUUGGGGACAACUCCAGCCUGCAGGACAGGAUUUCUGGGACUCAGUGUCCCACCUCUUCCUCUGCUAGGACACCUGCGGGACAGACAAACAGGGCUGUGGCCGGCGUGCUGAGUGGAGGCCCUUAGGGAAAACACUUAGGAAAAUGUGCCUUUCCAGAAAGAUAGCAUAAGUCUUCCAACUCUCAAGGCUGUGGGGUGGGGUGGGGGCUCCUUGAGUGUGUGCUGCUCAGAGAGGAUGUGUGAGCCCCACUAGGUGGGCUUUCCGGCGGGCGCCCCGCUCCCAGUCAGCAGGAGUGUGCCUCCCCUGCAGGGCUGUGGGUGCCGGAGUCCCUAGCAGGCCACCGUCCCCGGGUCUCCAUCACUGCCUGUCUGCCUCCCUUCAAACGACCCGAUGGGGAUCCCUGGGUGGCGCAGCGGUUUGGCGCCUGCCUUUGGCUGGGGGCGCGAUCCUGGAGACCCGGGAUCGAGUCCCACGUCGGGCUCCCGGUGCAUGGAGCCUGC